Molecule: transfer RNA, 71 nt
Filed under: Sillaginopsis panijus (flathead sillago)
Lineage: Eukaryota; Metazoa; Chordata; Actinopteri; Sillaginidae
Description: tRNA-Gly
Source: RNAcentral
AUCUUUCUAGUAUAGCACGAGUAUGGGUGACUUCCAAUCACCAAGCCCUGGUGAAACCCCAGGGAAAGAUA